CCUACGGGCGGCUGCAGUGAGGAAUAUUGGUCAAUGGGUGCGAGCCUGAACCAGCCAAGUAGCGUGAAGGAUGACUGCCCUACGGGUUGUAAACUUCUUUUAUAAAGGAAUAAAGUGAGGCACGUGUGCCUUUUUGUAUGUACUUUAUGAAUAAGGAUCGGCUAACUCCGUGCCAGCAGCCGCGGUAAUACGGAGGAUCCGAGCGUUAUCCGGAUUUAUUGGGUUUAAAGGGAGCGUAGAUGGGUUGUUAAGUCAGUUGUGAAAGUUUGCGGCUCAACCGUAAAAUUGCAAUUGAUACUGGCGGUCUUGAGUACAGUUGAGGUAGGCGGAAUUCGUGGUGUAGCGGUGAAAUGCUUAGAUAUCACGAAGAACUCCGAUUGCGAAGGCAGCUUACUAAACUGCCACUGACAUUGAUGCUCGAAAGUGUGGGUAUCAAACAGGAUUAGAUACCCUGGUAGUC
RNAcentral lists this ribosomal RNA (460 nucleotides) under uncultured bacterium. RNAcentral describes it as "partial 16S ribosomal RNA". It matches the Rfam family "Bacterial small subunit ribosomal RNA", at positions 338 to 795 of the family's 1533-position model. The record is from RNAcentral.